GUGGGGAAUAUUGGACAAUGGGGGGAACCCUGAUCCAGCCAUGCCGCGUGUGCGAAGAAGGCCUUUUGGUUGUAAAGCACUUUAAGCGAGGAGGAGGCUACCGAGAUUAAUACUAUUGGAUAGUGGACGUUACUCGCAGAAUAAGCACCGGCUAACUAUGUGCCAGCAGCCGCGGUAAUACAGAGGGUGCAAGCGUUAAUCGGAUUUACUGGGCGUAAAGCGCGCGUAGGUGGCCAAUUAAGUCAAAUGUGAAAUCCCCGAGCUUAACUUGGGAAUUGCAUUCGAUACUGGUUGGCUAGAGUAUGGGAGAGGAUGGUAGAAUUCCAGGUGUAGCGGUGAAAUGCGUAGAGAUCUGGAGGAAUACCGAUGGCGAAGGCAGCCAUCUGGCCUAAUACUGACACUGAGGUGCGAAAGCAUGGGGAGCAAACAGGAUUAGAAACCCUUGUAGUCC
RNAcentral lists this ribosomal RNA (451 nucleotides) under uncultured bacterium. RNAcentral's name for it is "partial 16S ribosomal RNA". It matches the Rfam family "Bacterial small subunit ribosomal RNA", at positions 354 to 796 of the family's 1533-position model. The record is from RNAcentral.